GGCGGACUUCAGUCCCCAGGAUGAUGCCUGCCAAGGGAGCAAAGAACCGCAAACUCAAACCACGGAGCCGCUCUCCACACCCACCCAGGAACCUCAAGCUGGUCUGGGAGGCUCCAAGGACCCGGUCGACAAGGCGCAAGGCGCUAAGCAUCAGAGCAGCAUAAGACGCCCCCUGAGCAUGCGCACAAGCCCUGUUGCGCAGCGCUGCUGCCUGAGGCGGAACUUCCUCCCUACCGCCAAGAAAACGGAAGUAGACUCGUUUUUUUCACCGGAAGGAGAAAUAGCGACCGAGAGCCUGACACCUGAGGCUGGCGGCUUUUGUCUCUCAAAGUUGGGACAGUAUUUGGCCACCUUGUGCGGCGGGUGACUAUGGUGUCCCGGUAUGUAGCUGACGUGGCAGGCGUCCCAGGAAUGGGAGAAGAGAUGGAAAUCUGUAUUAUCUGAAAGCAGAGAGCAGUUGUUUCCGUGCUCGGAUCAUUCAGAGAUUAUGCAGCCACCACCAUGCCUUAGACGUGUGUAAUUCAAAUGGAGAAGACACAAGCCAGUGGUCGCAAUAUCAACCCUUGAGUGUUCUGUAAACGAUUUAUCAGAGGUUGCAGCGGAACAUGGCCAUGAGGUAAACCCUGCCCCUGGUUGAAAUUUAGUUUCAUCAGCUUCUACAUGGGAUUGUAAGAACUUGGAGUAUGUCACGAAACCCAGUAGGGUUUCCUUUUUUUUUUUCAAGA
Molecule: long non-coding RNA, 725 nt
Organism: Arvicanthis niloticus (Nile rat)
Lineage: Eukaryota; Metazoa; Chordata; Mammalia; Rodentia; Muridae
Source: RefSeq, a predicted model, not a curated record